AACGCACAUUGCGCCUCCCUUUACCGGGAGGCAUGCCUGUCUGAGCGUCAUUUUAAAACCCAUAAGUCUUCGGAUUUGUGUUGGGCUCUGCACCCCCCCGGGGCGUGCACCGCCUCAAAGCGCUGGGUCUUGGACUUAUGGACGAGCUCCUGUAGGACUUUAACCGUGGGUUCGACCCCGAACCGUCGAGGCCCUCGGGCCUCUGAACCUUUGACCUCAGAUCAGGUAGGAAGACCGCCUGAACUUAA
Molecule: unclassified non-coding RNA, 248 nt
Filed under: uncultured fungus
Lineage: Eukaryota; Fungi
Description: partial contains 5.8S ribosomal RNA, internal transcribed spacer 2, and large subunit ribosomal RNA
Source: RNAcentral